CAGUUUGAUCAUGGCUCAGGACGAACGCUGGCGGCGCGCUUAACACAUGCAAGUCGAGCGAGAACCAGGCCUUCGGGCCUGGGGACAGCGGCGAACGGGUGAAUAACACGUGGGUCAUCUGCCCUCGGCACCGGAAUAGCCCGGGGAAACCCGGAUUAAUGCCGGAUAGCCCGCCCGCCCUUCGGGGUGGUCGGAAAAGGUAGCUUCGGCCUCCGGCCGAGGAUGAGCCCGCGGCGGAUUAGCUUGUUGGUGGGGUAACGGCCCACCAAGGCGACGAUCCGUAGCUGGUCUGAGAGGACGAUCAGCCACACUGGGACUGAGACACGGCCCAGACUCCUACGGGAGGCAGCAGUGGGGAAUCUUGCGCAAUGGGCGAAAGCCUGACGCAGCGACGCCGCGUGAGGGAAGAAGGCCUUCGGGUUGUAAACCUCUUUCAGGAGGGACGAAGCCACUCGGGUUAAUAGCCCAGAGGGUGACGGUACCUCCAGAAGAAGCCCCGGCUAACUACGUGCCAGCAGCCGCGGUAGUCGGGCCCA
RNAcentral lists this ribosomal RNA (536 nucleotides) under uncultured bacterium. RNAcentral describes it as "bacterial SSU rRNA". It matches the Rfam family "Bacterial small subunit ribosomal RNA", at positions 9 to 537 of the family's 1533-position model. The record is from RNAcentral.